Zea mays is the source of this 3606-nucleotide RNA transcript. It is a transcript of the gene named 3-hydroxy-3-methylglutaryl-coenzyme A reductase pseudogene, with no coding region annotated. NCBI's taxonomy places the organism in Eukaryota, Viridiplantae, Streptophyta, Magnoliopsida, Poales, Poaceae. The record is from RefSeq and is marked validated. The transcript has 13 exons.
AGAUUGCCGCUGGGCCGCCGGGAUCAAGUGGGAGGCGCUGCGCAGGAUCACCGGGAGGGAGAUGGACGGGAUCCCGCUCGAUGGGUUCGACUACGCGUCCAUCCUCAGCCAGUGCUGCGAGCUGCCGGUGGGGUUCGUGCAGCUUCCCGUGGGCGUCACCGACCCGCUCCUUCUCGACGGCCGCCGGCUCUACGUACCAAUGGCCACCACCGAGGGCUGCCUCGUCGCCAGCACCAACCGCGGAUGCAAGGCCAUUGCCGAGUCCAGUGGGGCCUCUAGCGUCGUGCUCAAUGAUGGGAUGACGCGAGCCCCGGCCGUCCGGUUCCCAUCUGCACGCCGCGCCGCCGAGCUCAAAGCCUUCUUGGAGGACCAAUGAACUUUGACACCCUGGCUAUGGUGUUUAACAGGUAAGAACGCUAGAUUCUAAAUCAACGACACAUUGUCCCUUUUGCUUUCGACCCAUGCUCCACGCGCGCUCUUGUGCUUGACAACACAUCUCUGUGUAUCCAUCCCGAUCAAAGCAACAGUUGGCAUCUGUCAAUUUUUAAACCCAUAAAUUGCCUGUACUGUUGCCCACUUUUUUAUAACUUGAGGAUUUAGGCUGGGAUUAUGUGAGAUGUGACCGACCUGUUUUGGGAAAUAUUUGUGUAGGUCGAGCAGAUUUGGAAGGUUGCAGGGAGUGAAGUGUGUGAUUACAGGGAGGAACCUUUACAUGAGGUUCAGCUGUAGCACAGGGGAUGCCAUGGGGAUGAAGAUGGUCUCCAAAGGUGUACAGAACGUGCUGGACUACCUCCAGGCUGACUUCCCUGAUAUGGAUGUCAUCAACAUAUCAGACGCAGUUAAUGCUUAAUCCUCAGAGCUGCAUAUAACCAAGUGGUGCUUACCUGGAUUUGAGGACCUCUGAUGCUUGUUUAUCUCAAGAGUGCUGGUCGGUUCCUGUUGGCUAUAAGAUAUUCAGAUAGAGUAUGCCUGUCCAACUGAAGUAGGCGUCCACAGAGAAGAAUGAUAAAUUGCUAUUAAUUUGUUUCGUUGUUUUUCCCUGAUCCGUAAUUUGAUUUUAGAUGCAGUACUCACGAUCCAACCUAUUUGGGAUGCAGUACUCGCGCAAGCGCUACUUCGUGCUCGAGGACGCCGCGCUCCGCUGCUUCAAGUCCACGUCGUCCUCCAAGGGCGAGGUACCCUAUUGCCACCACUGAAUAACUACAGGCCCCCUCCAAUCAUGUUUCGUUGUUUUUCCCUGAUCCGUAAUUUGAUUUUAGUUGUUUUUUGUGCUUCAAGUCUGCGCCGUCCUCCAAGGGUGAGGUACCCUAUUGCCACCACUGAAUAACUACAGGCCCCUCCAAUCUUGUUUCGUUGUUUUUCCCUGAUCCGUAAUUUGAUUUUAGUUGUUUUUUGUGCUCCAUGAUUUGAUUUUGGAUAGUGAAGAUAAACUAAUGCAUAAUCCAGCACUUGAUCCGAGGCAGGCUUCUGUCGAGCGACUGAUGCGCAGACAUCUCUGUAUCUGAGUCCUUAACAUCCUGUAAUGAUUUUGACCAUUGUUUUCUAUUCUUGUGCUGUUGAAUUGCAUCUCUAUAUUUUUCUUUGUAGUAUCUGAUGGCGAAACCUCGAAACAAUCUUAGAACACAUUUCGACACAUUGCUAGCAGCACUUUGAGUGAUAAGUAUAUUAUUUUCUAAUGAUGCUGCAAUUAUGCUUCAAUUCUACAAGGUGGAUUCUUUCAUGGUGUUCGCAGUCUAAGUUUUGGGGUUGACCUUCAAGAAAUAAGGCUGAUGGGUGUACUGCAGAGAAUUACAAUAGCUUAUCUGCUGACCGCCCUCUGUGAGAUUUGGAUCAAAGGAGAUGAAGAUGUAGACUAUGGAUACGAUUUGCUCAAGCGAUACCGCUACUAGCUGCGCAGUCGUGGCGAUCACAUACAAGUCCCUGUUGUACGGUAUCUAUGUUCCUGACUGGGAGUACCAGACAUCAGCUCCUGGCUCCACAGAGAAGCAUUUCUUUCAAUGCAGCAUCGACUCGCCACAAAAUGGCCCCCUUCCUCCUGAUGCGCCCUCUUGGUGCCAGGCCCCUUUUGACCCCCAUCUUACAACGUGGUGGACGAGGAGGACGAGCCGCCGGCGGUGGCGAAAGUCGGUCUCGGGCCACGAUGGUGUCGAGCACCGGCGGCGCGUUGUCGUCGUUGGGGAAGAAUGAGUCCUACCUGUGUGCUAACAAGGUCGACCUCGAGAGCCUAGACAUCCAACUGGACAACAGGCGCUGAUCCUGCUCGCUCACCCUCGGCCCGCUGCCGACCGCCCCCAAGGUGCCCGCUGGUGUCUCUGCCAAACGUGCCUUCCCAGGCCCGCCCAGCGCCCCGUCGCUGCCUGGGCUACCGACGACAAGCAGGCCUUCACCGUCGCGCCGCCGGCCGCCAAAGCGUAGGUGGUGGGAUGGCCACCCGUGCAGAACUACCGAAAGAACACCCUCGCCGCGAGCUCCUCCAGGAGAAAGGCACCGGCAGAGGACGCAACGUCCACAGCUCAGACCAUGUAUGUGAAGGUCAGCAUGGACGACGCGCCCUACCUCAAGAUGGUGGACAUCAAGAUGUACUCCAACUACGAGGACCUCUCCAUGGCGCUUGAGAAGAUGUUCAACUGCUUCAUCAUUGAUCAUGUUUCCUUCAACACUACAAGGAACUGGUGAAAAUUGGACAAUGAUGAAGACCAUUUGUGUCACUGAAUAUCUAAAUUACAAAGGAGGUGAAGCAGGGCAGAACAAGAAGAGGCAGGUUUCAAUCUCGAAGUGGACAGCUCUUCGCUGUGGCACUUUUUGAUUCGUGAUGGUCUCAGAUGAAAAUCUCGGGCUGAGAAGAAUGAACGAUAUAUGCAAAAGCUCACAAGGAGCAGGCUGAGAGAGAUAGAAUUGGAGACACUUUAGACUUUGAAAUUAAGAGGUGGUCUACUGGAAAACAGGGCAACUUGCGUGCUUUGUUAUCAACUUUACAAUAUAUUCGUCCGAGUGACAAGAAGGUAGAUUACCAAAUCCAGAAGCUCACCAAUGCAGCUAACAAUGCCACUGCUCGAGAGAAAUCAGGAAAUGCAGAGGCGAAUGGGAAGGAUGGGCAUUCGGAUGAGGAAGACCUCCUGAAGUAUAGGCCAAACCCAGAUAUGAUGGACACAGACUGGUCCUGAUGGUCAGUUAACGAAGCGGAGCACCUGAACUAGUAGUCACGUCUGCAAUAUACACACCAACAAAACACUCCUGUAACACUAAUCAGUUCAUGCAUAUCCUUGACUGAAGACGAUGUUGCAAAGGUUUCAGACAUCAGCUUUGGUGUUGACAAGAAACAAGAUGACGAGUACAAUGCUCCUGAUGAGUACAACACAGUGUAUAAGUUUGCUUUGUACUGCUUGAGACCAUCUCUGGAAGGCGUUCAUAUUUUGACGACGAUGUGCUCCUAUAUUUUCCUUUCUGAAUACCAAAUUCUUUAACGUGUCCUCUUGUGUGGAAUCAAGUUCCUAAUUUUGCUAGAGCAAUACUUGAAAAGAGGAAUCACAAUUAGUUGUUUUUCAUGUGAUUGUAUAACAAUUUCUUGUAAAUGAAUAUAAUGCUGACUAAUUUACUUUUUGUGUG